RNAcentral lists this ribosomal RNA (253 nucleotides) under uncultured bacterium. RNAcentral's name for it is "partial 16S ribosomal RNA". It matches the Rfam family "Bacterial small subunit ribosomal RNA", at positions 524 to 776 of the family's 1533-position model. The record is from RNAcentral.
GACGGAGGGGGCAAGCGUUGUCCGGAAUUAUUGGGCGUAAAGCGCGUGUAGGCGGCACGGUACGUCCGCUGUGAAAGUCGGGGGCUCAACCCUCGAAUGCCGGUGGAUACUGUCGGGCUAGAGUGCGGAAGAGGCGAGUGGAAUUCCUGGUGUAGCGGUGAAAUGCGCAGAUAUCAGGAGGAACACCAAGUGCGAAGGCAGCUCGCUGGGACGUUACUGACGCUGAGACGCGAAAGCGUGGGGAGCAAACAGG